Molecule: ribosomal RNA, 494 nt
Filed under: uncultured bacterium
Lineage: Bacteria
Description: partial 16S ribosomal RNA
Rfam family: Bacterial small subunit ribosomal RNA
Source: RNAcentral
GACGAACGCUGGCGGCGCGCUUAACACAUGCAAGUCGAACGGAAAGGCCUGCUUUCCCUUGUGGAUUGCGGGUACUCGAGUGGCGAACGGGUGAGUAACACGUGAGUGAUCUGCCCCCAACUUGGGUAUAAGCCUGGGAAACUGGGUCUAAUUCCCGAUAGGACUGCAGGGUGGUGCCUGUGGUGGAAAACGAUUUUCUAGUGGUUGGGGAUGAGCUCGCGGCCUAUCAGCUUGUUGGUGGGGUAAUGGCCUACCAAGGCGGCGACGGGUAGCCGGCCUGAGAGGGUGGACGGCCACAGUGGGACUGGGAUACGGCCCAGACGCCUACGGGAGGCAGCGGUGGGGAAUAUGGGACAAUGGGCGGAAGCCUGAUGCAGCGACGCCGCGGGGGGGAUGACGGCCGUCGGGUUGUAAACUCCUUGCGACCGCGAGGAAGCCACCUGGUUGGAAGGGUGGUGACGGUAGUGGUAGAAGAAGCACCGGCUAACUACGUG